This 1465-nucleotide ribosomal RNA is filed under the name Lactiplantibacillus plantarum. Its description in RNAcentral is "bacterial SSU rRNA". It matches the Rfam family "Bacterial small subunit ribosomal RNA". The record is from RNAcentral. Lineage: Bacteria; Bacillati; Bacillota; Bacilli; Lactobacillales; Lactobacillaceae.
GAAAUGCUCAGCUGUCAUGUAGUCGAACGAACUCUGGUAUUGAUUGGUGCUUGCAUCAUGAUUUACAUUUGAGUGAGUGGCGAACUGGUGAGUAACACGUGGGAAACCUGCCCAGAAGCGGGGGAUAACACCUGGAAACAGAUGCUAAUACCGCAUAACAACUUGGACCGCAUGGUCCGAGUUUGAAAGAUGGCUUCGGCUAUCACUUUUGGAUGGUCCCGCGGCGUAUUAGCUAGAUGGUGGGGUAACGGCUCACCAUGGCAAUGAUACGUAGCCGACCUGAGAGGGUAAUCGGCCACAUUGGGACUGAGACACGGCCCAAACUCCUACGGGAGGCAGCAGUAGGAAUCUUCCACAAUKGACGAAAGUCUGAUGGAGCAACGCCGCGUGAGUGAAGAAGGGUUUCGGCUCGUAAAACUCUGUUGUUAAAGAAGAACAUAUCUGAGAGUAACUGUUCAGGUAUUGACGGUAUUUAACCAGAAAGCCACGGCUAACUACGUGCCAGCAGCCGCGGUAAUACGUAGGUGGCAAGCGUUGUCCGGAUUUAUUGGGCGUAAAGCGAGCGCAGGCGGUUUUUUAAGUCUGAUGUAAAGCCUUCGGCUCAACCGAAGAAGUGCAUCGGAAACUGGGAAACUUGAGUGCAGAAGAGGACAGUGGAACUCCAUGUGUAGCGGUGAAAUGCGUAGAUAUAUGGAAGAACACCAGUGGCGAAGGCGGCUGUCUGGUCUGUAACUGACGCUGAGGCUCGAAAGUAUGGGUAGCAAACAGGAUUAGAUACCCUGGUAGUCCAUACCGUAAACGAUGAAUGCUAAGUGUUGGAGGGUUUCCGCCCUUCAGUGCUGCAGCUAACGCAUUAAGCAUUCCGCCUGGGGAGUACGGCCGCAAGGCUGAAACUCAAAGGAAUUGACGGGGGCCCGCACAAGCGGUGGAGCAUGUGGUUUAAUUCGAAGCUACGCGAAGAACCUUACCAGGUCUUGACAUACUAUGCAAAUCUAAGAGAUUAGACGUUCCCUUCGGGGACAUGGAUACAGGUGGUGCAUGGAUUGUCGUCAGCUCGUGUCGUGAGAUGUUGGGUUAAGUCCCGCAACGAGCGCAACMCUUAUUAUCAGUUGCCAGCAUUAAGUUGGGCACUCUGGUGAGACUGCCGGUGACAAACCGGAGGAAGGUGGGGAUGACGUCAAAUCAUCAUGCCCCUUAUGACCUGGGCUACACACGUGCUACAAUGGAUGGUACAACGAGUUGCGAACUCGCGAGAGUAAGCUAAUCUCUUAAAGCCAUUCUCAGUUCGGAUUGUAGGCUGCAACUCGCCUACAUGAAGUCGGAAUCGCUAGUAAUCGCGGAUCAGCAUGCCGCGGUGAAUACGUUCCCGGGCCUUGUACACACCGCCCGUCACACCAUGAGAGUUUGUAACACCCAAAGUCGGUGGGGUAACCUAUCUCGAGAGUCCUCGUACUCGAACCCUGGG